AUGGAUUCACAGGCCCGGGUCCUCAUGUUGCUGCUGCUAUGGGUAUCUGGUACCUGUGGGGACAUUGUAAUGUCUCAGUCUCCAUCCUCCCUGACUAUGUCAGCAGGAAAGAAGGUCACUAUGAGCUGCAAGUCCAGCCAGAGCCUUUUAGCUAGUGGCAACCAAAAGAACUACUUGGCCUGGUACCAGCAAAAACCAGGAUAGUCUCCUAACCUGGUGAUCUACUAUGCAUCCACUAGAGUACCUGAUCUGUGGUACCUGAUCGCUUUAUAGGCAAUGGAUUUAGGACAGAUUUCACUCUGACCAUCAGAAGUGUGCUGGCUGAAGACCUGACAGUUUAUUACUGUCAACAUUUUAGCUUUCCUAC
Molecule: non-coding RNA, 367 nt
Organism: Mus musculus (house mouse)
Lineage: Eukaryota; Metazoa; Chordata; Mammalia; Rodentia; Muridae
Source: the annotation of a RefSeq genome assembly